UCAGCGGCGGCGGCGGGGAGCUCAGUGGCGUACUGUAGCAGGAAUUGCCGGCGGAAACAGCAGCCAAGUGCGGCGAGAUCUCACCGCCACCGUUAAUGCUGCCCAAUUUCCCGAUCAGCUCCCGGAUCAUGAAGCUUUCGGCGGAGACGUUGUUGGAGUUGGACGGUGUCGCCGCUGCCGCGGCCGGAGAGGAAGCCAUGGAGCUCAGCGCCGAUUCGAACUGGAGGCCGGCGUUGUGAUCCGCUGCCGUUGACCUUUCCCAGUUGCCGAAUUGGUGGUGGU
This 282-nucleotide long non-coding RNA is filed under the name Linum usitatissimum (flax). RNAcentral describes it as "long non-coding RNA (LUSI_LNC000808)". The record is from RNAcentral. Lineage: Eukaryota; Viridiplantae; Streptophyta; Magnoliopsida; Malpighiales; Linaceae.